Aquila chrysaetos chrysaetos is the source of this 177-nucleotide long non-coding RNA. RefSeq lists it as uncharacterized. The record is from RefSeq and is a predicted model, not a curated record. The transcript is spliced from 2 exons. NCBI's taxonomy places the organism in Eukaryota, Metazoa, Chordata, Aves, Accipitriformes, Accipitridae.
GGGGUGAUUCCCUGUUUUGUAUGUGGGCUUGCAACUGGACUAUAUAAUAAUUAGCAUCCGGCUUGGGUUUUGUUGAAGUGUAAAUCUUGUGGGAGGAGAAUAUAAAGAAGUGUAAGAAAUGAUUUGCAUGGAAGCUUAUUAAAAGGAGAAGCCAAAAUCAAACUUAAGAAUCAUUAG